Daphnia pulicaria is the source of this 1084-nucleotide long non-coding RNA. RefSeq lists it as uncharacterized. The record is from RefSeq and is a predicted model, not a curated record. NCBI's taxonomy places the organism in Eukaryota, Metazoa, Arthropoda, Branchiopoda, Diplostraca, Daphniidae. The transcript has 5 exons.
CCGCCACUACAAGAUAGGACCCUGGCCCACGGGUCGAAGACUGGAGAGGAUCGCCGCCGCCGCCGCCGCCGCCACCGGAGCCGCUUCAAGAUCGUCGCACGCUAGGACCUUCGCCAAUGGAUCUCAGGUAUAUUUUUUAAUUCUAAGUGUCUAACCAUACUUUUUUUAUGUACUCUAGAUGGGACCCAGGACCAAGGAGGAUCGCCGCCGCCACUACAAGAUCGUCGCUUCAAGAUAGGACCCUGGCCCACGGGUCGAAGACUGGAGAGGAUCGCCGCCGCCGCCGCCGCCGCCACCGGAGCCGCUUCAAGAUCGUCGCACGCUAGGACCUUCGCCAAUGGAUCUCAGGUAUAUUUUUUAAUUCUAAGUGUCUAACCAUACUUUUUUUAUGUACUCUAGAUGGGACCCAGGACCAAGGAGGAUCGCCGCCGCCACUACAAGAUCGUCGCUUCAAGAUAGGACCCUGGCCCACGGGUCGAAGACUGGAGAGGAUCGCCGCCGCCGCCGCCGCCACCCCACCGGAGCCGCUUCAAGAUCGUCGCACGCUAGGACCUUCGCCAAUGGAUCUCAGGUAUAUUUUUUAAUUCUAAGUGUCUAACCAUACUUUUUUUUAUGUACUCUAGAUGGGACCCAGGACCAAGGAGGAUCGCCGCCGCCACUACAAGAUCGUCGCUUCAAGAUAGGACCCUGGCCCACGGGUCGAAGACUGGAGAGGAUCGCCGCCGCCGCCGCCGCCACCCCACCGGAGCCGCUUCAAGAUCGUCGCACGCUAGGACCUUCGCCAAUGGAUCUCAGGUAUAUUUUUUAAUUCUAAGUGUCUAACCAUACUUUUUUUUAUGUACUCUAGAUGGCACCCAGGACCAAGGAGGAUCGCCGCCGCCACUACAAGAUCGUCCCCACCGCCGCAAAGGACUUCGAAGAUCUUUAAAUGGUACGGUAUAAUUUUUUCCUACCUAAGGUUGUGUGAGUGUAUUAUCGUGUUAAAUGUGUUUGUGUAAGUAUGGAUUUGUUGUUUAUUCCCUCUCCAAUAUAACCUUACCUUCACAAUUACGGUAUAUAAUUAUGGUCUAGAAACAGUAUUCUC